RNAcentral lists this ribosomal RNA (253 nucleotides) under uncultured bacterium. RNAcentral's name for it is "partial 16S ribosomal RNA". It matches the Rfam family "Bacterial small subunit ribosomal RNA", at positions 524 to 776 of the family's 1533-position model. The record is from RNAcentral.
GACGGAGGAUGCAAGUGUUAUCCGGAAUCACUGGGCGUAAAGCGUCUGUAGGUGGUUUAAAAAGUCUACUGUUAAAAAUUGAAGCUUAACUUCAAAGAUGCCGUAGAAACUUUUAAACUUGAGGAUGGUAGGGGUAGAGGGAAUUUCCAGUGGAGCGGUGAAAUGCGUAGAUCUUGGAAAGACCACCAAUGGCGAAGGCACUCUACUGGGCCAUGACAUGCACUAAGAGACGAAAGCUAGGGGAGCAAAUGGG